This 427-nucleotide ribosomal RNA is filed under the name uncultured Acidobacterium sp. RNAcentral's name for it is "bacterial SSU rRNA". It matches the Rfam family "Bacterial small subunit ribosomal RNA", at positions 958 to 1385 of the family's 1533-position model. The record is from RNAcentral. Lineage: Bacteria; Pseudomonadati; Acidobacteriota; Terriglobia; Terriglobales; Acidobacteriaceae.
AACGCGAAGAACCUUACCUGGGCUCGAAAUGCUAUGGACCGGGGUGGAAACAUCCCUUCCCCGCAAGGGGCCGUAGUAUAGGUGCUGCAUGGCUGUCGUCAGCUCGUGUCGUGAGAUGUUGGGUUAAGUCCCGCAACGAGCGCAACCCUUACUUCCAGUUGCCAUCAUUUAGUUGGGCACUCUGGCAGAACCGCCUCGGAUAACGGGGAGGAAGGUGGGGAUGACGUCAAGUCCUCAUGGCCUUUAUGUCCAGGGCUACACACGUGCUACAAUGGCCGGUACAAACCGUCGCAAACCCGCGAGGGGGAGCUAAUCGGAAAAAGCCGGCCUCAGUUCGGAUCGCAGUCUGCAACUCGACUGCGUGAAGCUGGAAUCGCUAGUAAUCGCGGAUCAGAACGCCGCGGUGAAUACGUUCCCGGGCCUUGUA